RNAcentral lists this ribosomal RNA (686 nucleotides) under Halomonas sp. S13-9. RNAcentral's name for it is "bacterial SSU rRNA". It matches the Rfam family "Bacterial small subunit ribosomal RNA", at positions 396 to 1074 of the family's 1533-position model. The record is from RNAcentral. Lineage: Bacteria; Pseudomonadati; Pseudomonadota; Gammaproteobacteria; Oceanospirillales; Halomonadaceae.
GCCGCGUGUGUGAAGAAGGCUUUCGGGUUGUAAAGCACUUUCAGCGAGGAAGAAAGCCUCUGGGUUAAUACCCCAGAGGAAGGACAUCACUCGCAGAAGAAGCACCGGCUAACUCCGUGCCAGCAGCCGCGGUAAUACGGAGGGUGCGAGCGUUAAUCGGAAUUACUGGGCGUAAAGCGCGCGUAGGUGGCUUGGCACGCCGGUUGUGAAAGCCCCGGGCUCAACCUGGGAACGGCAUCCGGAACGGCCAGGCUAGAGUGCAGGAGAGGAAGGUAGAAUUCCCGGUGUAGCGGUGAAAUGCGUAGAGAUCGGGAGGAAUACCAGUGGCGAAGGCGGCCUUCUGGCCUGACACUGACACUGAGGUGCGAAAGCGUGGGUAGCAAACAGGAUUAGAUACCCUGGUAGUCCACGCCGUAAACGAUGUCGACUAGCCGUUGGGACCUUUAAGGACUUAGUGGCGCAGUUAACGCGAUAAGUCGACCGCCUGGGGAGUACGGCCGCAAGGUUAAAACUCAAAUGAAUUGACGGGGGCCCGCACAAGCGGUGGAGCAUGUGGUUUAAUUCGAUGCAACGCGAAGAACCUUACCUACCCUUGACAUCCAGAGAAGUUGGCAGAGAUGCCUUCGUGCCUUCGGGAACUCUGAGACAGGUGCUGCAUGGCUGUCGUCAGCUCGUGUUGUGAAAUG